RNAcentral lists this ribosomal RNA (143 nucleotides) under uncultured eukaryote. Its description in RNAcentral is "partial 18S ribosomal RNA". It matches the Rfam family "Eukaryotic small subunit ribosomal RNA", at positions 1299 to 1458 of the family's 1831-position model. The record is from RNAcentral.
UGGUGGAGUGAUUUGUCUGGUUAAUUCCGAUAACGAACGAGAUCUUUUCUUAUUAAUUAAAGUGAAUCUUGAUUUCAAGGUUUGAUUUUUCUUUAAAAGGACUGUUAACUGUAUUUAAUUAAUGGAAGUUUGAGGCAAUAACA